Molecule: ribosomal RNA, 1242 nt
Filed under: Gambierdiscus sp. MMEG9
Lineage: Eukaryota; Dinophyceae; Gonyaulacales; Pyrocystaceae
Description: eukaryotic LSU rRNA
Rfam family: Eukaryotic large subunit ribosomal RNA
Source: RNAcentral
UAAGUAGGCGGAGGAAAUGACACAAACAUGGAUUCACUGAGUAACUGCGAGUGACAUGUGAUUUGCUCACAGCUGAUAUUCUUUGCUGUCUGCUUUGACAUGAGGACUUUGAGUGCGGUGCCAAUGGUGGUGUAAGUGUGAGCCAUCUUGGAAAAGAGGAGAGUGUGCACUGACAAGGGUGAGAAGCCUGUGUGUGCUUGCAAAAUCUCCAUAUGGGGGUCACGCUUUGAGAAUCAUGCUCUUUGGAAGUGGAGUGUAAAGUGGGUGGUAGACUCUUCUCAAAGCUGAGUACAGAACUGGGACCGACAGGCAAGAAGUACCAUGAGGGAAGUGUGAAAAGGACUUUGGAAAGAGACUUAAAAGAGCCUGUACUUGCUGAAGGAUAUGCAUACAGCAUGCUUGCAUGUGAGAUGAUUGCUGUGUGUAUGAGUCUGACUUUGGCUGGAUGGCCAUGGCCGUGUGCCAUGGACACUUGGCCACCCAAUGUGUAUCCUCUUGUGUGUGCCAGCAUGUGGGAGACAGUCAGUGUUUGAGUGCAGUGGUUGCUGUGUCUGGGGAUACAUCAGAUGUGCACUCAAAGAUCUGAGCAUGUUGAGAAGCAGGUGCAGAAGGGCCCUCCUGUCUGUAUGACCCGUCUUGAAACACGGACCAAGGAGUCUAGCAUGAGUGCAAGCAUAUGGGACCGAAGGCUCUGUGUGCAAUGAAGGUGGAGUCCCAGAUUUGUGCAUGAGUGUUCAAACAAGCAGGAGGACAAGGUUUGAGUCUGAGCAUUCCUGACAGGACCCGAAAGAUGGUGAACUAUGCCCGGAAAGGGCCAAGUCAGGGGAAACUCUGGUGGAGGCUCGUAGCGUUACUGACGUGCAAAUCGUUCGUCACACCUGGGUAUGGGGGCGAAAGACUAAUCGAACCAUCUAGUAGCUGGUUCCCUCUGAAGUUUCCCUCAGGAUAGCUGAACUUGCAGGACUUUCACCAGGUAAAGCGAAUGAUUGGAGGAAUUGGGGGUUGCAGACCUUUGACCUAUUCUCAAACUUUUAAUGGGUGUGUUGCGUGGUUGCUUAGCUGAACCAACAGCUAAUGAUGACUCUUAGUGGGCCACUUUUGGUAAGCAGAACUGGCAAUGAGGGGUGAACCUGAUGAUGGGUUAAGGCACUGAAGUUCUUGCUCAUCAGAAACUGUAAAGGGUGUUGGCUCAUUCUGACAGCAGGUCGGUGGUCAUGGAAGUUGAAAUCCGCUUGGGAGUGU